CCCCUCUCAGGAUCACACCUGGAGAGUUUCCAGUACUUUACCAGUCUCGGCUACAGGAGGGAGAGUCAAGCAGAUGCAUACCCAUUCCAUUCCUAGCUUGGACAGUGGCCUGUGAGUGGAAGGCAGUAUGCUACAAGU
Non-coding RNA from Ornithorhynchus anatinus (platypus), 138 nucleotides. The record is from Rfam. Lineage: Eukaryota; Metazoa; Chordata; Mammalia; Monotremata; Ornithorhynchidae.